CAGUACAGCUGUGCCAGUGAGG
RNAcentral lists this microRNA (22 nucleotides) under Alligator mississippiensis (American alligator). Its description in RNAcentral is "ami-miR-9611-5p". Lineage: Eukaryota; Metazoa; Chordata; Crocodylia; Alligatoridae. The record is from miRBase by way of RNAcentral.